GGAGAAUAAAGGAGAGAAGGAAUAACACACAUUUCUAUGCUUCUAUGAACUUGGAGCUGCUGGUGUGUGAAGUAGAGCAGUCUUGUCUCUGUUCUCAUUGAAACCACUCAUUAAUAUUCACCAGAGGACAAUUACUCAGCCAGGAGCUUUAUGAAGCAGUACCAUCUCCCAAGGGGCAAUCCCUCGAGAGUUCAACAUGUUCAGCCACCAUCUGCCCAACUGCAAAUUCAGCAGGAAAGAAGCACAGGUGAAGUUGAGAGGAGACUCUUGAAUGUGCCAGAGACAUCCACUAAGAUUACUGACUUUUCAAAUCCUGCCCCAGAUUUUUCCCCAAAGACAGAUAAAUCAAGCUACCAAAGCUAUGACAGUCAGAAAAGUUACCUUUAUGUCAGUAAAUUGACAUGCAAUAUGUGUCCUCCAGUAACAUGCUUGUACAAAGCACUGAAUGUGUGCUAUAGUGUGUUACAUAUGAUCAACCCUUCAGCCAAACAGGAUAUUACUUAUCUGGGAGUGUCAAGCCAUUUACAUUUUUGAAUGACAUGUACAAGUUUAAAAUAUGAUUAAGAUUUUGGCUUUUGGUAGAGCUACUCUCUCUAUUGACCUUCCUGCCCCCCCUGAAGAAACCAACCUUUACCAACCUUCUGGGAUAAAAUCAGAUCUGGUAUAGAUCUGUAUAUCUCUUGAAUUCGCUGAACUCAAGCAUUUUUUUCACUAACGACAAAAGUGAUUUUAACUAACUUCACCCUACAAACAGUUCAGUGUACUGCCAGAAAGUGAGAAGAUGGUCUCCUUCUCAAAAGAAAGGAAGAGGCAAGACUUUUUGGCCAUUUGUAUUGUUUUAAACUGUGUGUCUAAGUUAUUUUGGCAGACUGUCACUCUCAAAGGGCCUCCCUUUACUGAGGAGAGAGGGGUCACAGAAAAGAUAAAGUCUCCUGCUCUUUGACCGGUGAGAUCAGUACUAUCCCUAAUAAAUAUGAUUCCCUAACUUAGACACUUAGAAUAUCCCAAGUAUUAUUUCUAAUAUUGUGCCUCUAUUUUACUGGGCCAGAUUUAAUAGAUUUGUAAGUUAGUGCAAAGAUAUUAGUCAUGAAAGGUUACUGGCAACUGGAAGUCAGCAGUUGCCAAGAGCAAUCUUUUUUUUUUUUUUUUUUUUUUUUUUUUUUUCCCCAGUAUUUUGUGAGGUUAC
RNAcentral lists this long non-coding RNA (1186 nucleotides) under Gallus gallus (chicken). RNAcentral describes it as "lncRNA (ENSGALG00010014072.1)". The record is from RNAcentral. Lineage: Eukaryota; Metazoa; Chordata; Aves; Galliformes; Phasianidae.